Molecule: regulatory RNA element, 47 nt
Organism: Cathartes aura (turkey vulture)
Lineage: Eukaryota; Metazoa; Chordata; Aves; Accipitriformes; Cathartidae
Rfam family: Histone 3' UTR stem-loop
About the family: The mRNAs of metazoan histone genes lack a poly-A tail. 3' end processing occurs at a site between a highly conserved stem-loop (modelled by this family) and a purine rich region around 20 nts downstream (the histone downstream element, or HDE).
Source: Rfam
ACAAAGGCUCUUUUAAGAGCCACUCCAUUCACAAUAAAAAGUGCUGU